GAGGCUCCAUGCAAGUCGAGCGGACUUUCUAGCUGCAGAAGAUGAAGGCGAGGUGAGUAAUGCUUGGGAAUAUGCCUUUUGGUGGGGGACAAAUUGAAACGACUGCUAAUACCGCAUGAUGUCUACGGACCAAAGUGGGGGACCUUCGGGCCUCACGCCAAAGAUUAGCCCAAGGGAUUAGCUAGUUGGUAAGGUAAUGGCUUACCAAGCAACGAUCCCUACUGGUUGAGAGGAUGAUCACCACACUGGGACUGAGACACGGCCAACUCCUACGGGAGGCGCAGUGGGGAAUAUUGCAAAUGGGCGCAACCUGAUGCAGCCAUGCCGCGGUGUAAGAAGGCUUCSUUGUAAAGCACUUUCAGUCAGGAGGAAAGGUUAGCGGUUAAUACCCGUUAGCUGUGACGUUACUGACAGAAGAAGCACCGGCUAACUCCGUGCCAGCAGCCGCGGUAAUACGGAGGGUGCGAGCGUUAAUCGGAAUUACUGGGCGUAAAGCGUACGCAGGGGUUUGUUAAGCGAGAUGUGAAAGCCCCGGGCUCAACCUGGGAACUGCAUUUCGAACUGGCAAACUAGAGUGUGAUAGAGGGUGGUAGAAUUUCAGGUGUAGCGGUGAAAUGCGUAGAGAUCUGAAGGAAUACCGAUGGCGAAGGCAGCCACCUGGGUCAACACUGACGCUCAUGUACGAAAGCGUGGGGAGCAAACAGGAUUAGAUACCCUGGUAGUCCACGCCGUAAACGAUGUCUACUAAAGCUCGGUUCCUCGGAACUGUUUUUCAAAGCUAACGCAUUAAGUAGACCGCCUGGGGAGUACGGCCGCAAGGUUAAAACUCAAUGAAUUGACGGGGGCCCGCACAAGCGGUGGAGCAUGUGGUUAAUUCGAUGCAACGCGAAGAACCUUACCUACACUUGACAUACAGAGAACUUACCAGAGAUGGUUUGGUGCCUUCGGGAACUCUGAUACAGUGCUGCAUGCUGUCGUCAGCUCGUGUGUGAGAUGUGGGUUAAGUCCCGCACAGCGCCCCCUAUCCUUAUGCUAGCAAAUGCUGAACUAGGACUGCGAUACAGCCCAGCAUCAUUUACCGU
Molecule: ribosomal RNA, 1082 nt
Filed under: uncultured Pseudoalteromonas sp.
Lineage: Bacteria; Pseudomonadati; Pseudomonadota; Gammaproteobacteria; Alteromonadales; Pseudoalteromonadaceae
Description: bacterial SSU rRNA
Rfam family: Bacterial small subunit ribosomal RNA
Source: RNAcentral